AGUAGAGUCGGGGUGGCCCCGCGAUUCUUCCAGGAGUAACUCGUCGAGUCAAAGAGGAUACUCGACGAGUAGAAGGGGACUCUUAGAGGAUUGAAGGACGACCAGACUCGCCGAGUCGCCAGGGAACUCGCCGAGUCCAGUCGAGCUGACAAUGGGCUGUUGACCAGAGUUGACCGGUGUGAUUUCUUAGGGUCAGUUAACGUGGAAGAUAGAAGUAUUACUAAGGGAUAUAUGGUGUUACAGGGAGCUUGUAGCUCGGAGGAUCAAGUGCAAGGGAUUUCAGGAGUUGCUAUCUUCCAGUGUCCGCGAGGUGAGUCUUCUCACUAUACUUUACCCGGAAGGGUUUGAUUGUGAGACCGGAAGGUCGUAUGUGUUAUAUUUAUGCUAUGGCUAGAGAGAUAGAUGCUUUAUAUGUGAUGUAUGCUUAUAUAUGAUGUAUACUUAUACGGGCCGGAAGGCGAGACUUCAUGUGAUAGGAAGAACGGUAUGAUGUAUGACUUAUGUGUUAUGUGCGUUAUGUUACAUGUGUUAUGUUUAUACUGUUAUGGGCCGGAAGGCAAAUAUUAUGUGGAUCGAAAGAUCCGGGCCGGAAGGCAAUAUUAUGUGGAUCGAAAGAUCCGGGCCGGAAGGCAAUAUUAUGUGGAUCGAAAGAUCCGGGCCGGAAGGCAAACAUUAUGUGGAUCGAAAGAUUCGGGCCGGAAGGCAAUAUUAUGUGGAUCGAAAGAUCCGGGCCGGAAGGCAAUAUUAUGUGGAUCGAAAGAUCCGGGCCGGAAGGCAAUAUUAUGUGGACCGGAAUAUCCGGGCCGGAAGGCAAACAUUAUGUGGAUCGAAAGAUUCGGGCCGGAAGGCAAUAUUAUGUGGACCGAAAGGUCCGGGCCGGAAGGCAAUAUUAUGUGGACCGGA
This 903-nucleotide long non-coding RNA is filed under the name Lactuca sativa (garden lettuce). Its description in RNAcentral is "long non-coding RNA (LSAT_LNC009759)". The record is from RNAcentral. Lineage: Eukaryota; Viridiplantae; Streptophyta; Magnoliopsida; Asterales; Asteraceae.